This is a long non-coding RNA of Rhagoletis pomonella (apple maggot), 888 nucleotides long. RefSeq lists it as uncharacterized. The record is from RefSeq and is a predicted model, not a curated record. Lineage: Eukaryota; Metazoa; Arthropoda; Insecta; Diptera; Tephritidae. The transcript is spliced from 3 exons.
CACUACCACAAAUUGUUUUCACUACCACUAUGCGCUUAGUGGUAAUGCAUUUCAAAUUUCACUAAAAUGUGUCACUACCACUAGCUGCUUCGUGGGAGUGGAAAAAAUUUUCACUAUAUGGUUAGUGGACUACCACUAUGCGCUUAGUGGUAAUGCAUUUACUACCACUAACCAUAUAGUGAACAUUUUUUUCACUACCACUAAGCAUCUAGUUCAGCAUUUUAAAUUUCACUACCACUUAGUGCUUAGUGGUAGUGAAAAACUAGAUGCUUAGUGGUAGUGAAAAAAAUGUGUCACUACCGCCAUUCAAAGGGAUUCGGUCUCAAUUGCGUCUGCCUCGAGUGACUCGCACCAUUCUGAUACCACUCCAAUCUGGAUACUGCAACAGGUUAAAUUUUAACCUGAGCAAGAAACUCAGAUGUGGCCAACACGUAUUCGGCAUGCGAAUAGUCUUCCCAUGACUCGACACCAGUGUUGCCAGCUUCUUUUUGAAAGUCUUUUAGCUCUUUCUAGCUGAACAAAUAAUCUAUUAUUGCCAUGCUAUGUUCAUCAUUAACAUACUUUUGGCACAGUUUUCUGUCGGCGGCGGGAUAGCUGAAUAUUUGCACAAUUGCAGAAAUAUGGAAAGGUCGGAGUGGCACAUUUCCUGGGCCGCCAAUUAGUUGAGCUUGAGGAUAAGGGUCAGGAGACAAGCCGAUCUGGGCUAAGCAAACAACUACAGUAACAACAACAAAAACAACAGCAAGGGGUUAUGUCGGUGUAUCUUCACCAAGUCACUCUUUAAAUGUAAAAAAAAACUUUGAGCUGAUAUUAGUCCAACCGCCACAAAAACUCACUGCAUCAACUAAUUUGUACUGGAACUUGACCGCAUUGAACUUUCAUAUUUAA